AACGCAUAUUGCGCCCUUUGGUAUUCCGAAGGGCAUGCCUGUCCGAGCGUCAUUAUCACCCCUCAAGCUAGGCUUGUUGUUGGAACGUGGUGCCGCCCCUUGGGGUUGCCGGUCACCCUUCCCAAAGAUAAUGACGGCGUCUGCGAGGACUCCUGUACACUGAGCUUUCGAGCACGUACUAGGCCAGCACUCCAGGCUCCGGUCACCACAAAAAUUUUUCAAGGUUGACCUCGGAUCAGGUAGGGAUACCCGCUGAACUUAA
Molecule: unclassified non-coding RNA, 262 nt
Filed under: uncultured fungus
Lineage: Eukaryota; Fungi
Description: partial contains 5.8S ribosomal RNA, internal transcribed spacer 2, and large subunit ribosomal RNA
Rfam family: 5.8S ribosomal RNA (bases 1-52)
Source: RNAcentral